Molecule: ribosomal RNA, 495 nt
Filed under: uncultured bacterium
Lineage: Bacteria
Description: partial 16S ribosomal RNA
Rfam family: Bacterial small subunit ribosomal RNA
Source: RNAcentral
GACGAACGCUGGCGGCGUGCCUAAUACAUGCAAGUAGAACGCUGAAGGAGGACCUUGCUCUUCUGGAUGAGUUGCGAACGGGUGAGUAACGCGUAGGUAACCUGCCUGGUAGCGGGGGAUAACUAUUGGAAACGAUAGCUAAUACCGCAUAAGAGCAGAUGUUGCAUGACAUUUGCUUAAAAGGUGCAAUUGCAUCACUACCAGAUGGACCUGCGUUGUAUUAGCUUGUUGGUGGGGUAACGGCUCACCAAGGCGACGAUGCAUAGCCGACCUGAGAGGGGGGGCGGCCGCACUGAGACUGUGACACGGCACAGACUCCUACGGGAGGCAGCAGUAGGGAAUCUUCGGGAAUGGGCGGAAGUCUGAGCGAGCAACGCCGCGUGAGUGAAGAAGGUUGUCGGAUCGUAAAGCUCGGUUGUAAGAGAAGAACGAGUGUGAGAGUGGAAAGUUCACACUGUGACGGUAUCUUACCAGAAAGGAACGGCUAACUACGUG